This 350-nucleotide small RNA is filed under the name Vigna angularis var. angularis. RNAcentral describes it as "Non-protein coding transcript". Lineage: Eukaryota; Viridiplantae; Streptophyta; Magnoliopsida; Fabales; Fabaceae. The record is from RNAcentral.
CCAAAGGCUAGAGUACGAAGGUUUUGGAGCAGAGGGACUUUAGAGCUGUGAUUUGAGUCGGGGGAACGUUCGCAAAGUGUUUUCGAAAGGCUAGCUAAGGAGAAAACCAAGUUGCUGUUAUGCCGGUGGAGCAAGCUUUAGAUGGAGGAUCGACGGAAGCUUAGUUAUAAGAAAGAGCCUUAUAAUUUUAGUCUAUGUUUUAAGUGUGAACUGUAUUUUCGUUUGAAUAUGAGUGAGGGUUUGUAUAAUAAUGAGGAAAAUUAUUAUUCCUCUUCCUAUCAACUGUUCUAUUGUAUCAAUGAUGUAAGAACUCUAUUAUAAUUUAAUGCUAUAAUAAUUGGGAUGUUACA